GAGUAAUGGUUCGUAGAGAGCCUGCGGAGGAUCAUUC
RNAcentral lists this ribosomal RNA (37 nucleotides) under uncultured Craterellus. Its description in RNAcentral is "partial 18S ribosomal RNA". The record is from RNAcentral. Lineage: Eukaryota; Fungi; Basidiomycota; Agaricomycetes; Cantharellales; Hydnaceae.